Molecule: non-coding RNA, 97 nt
Organism: Hordeum vulgare subsp. vulgare (domesticated barley)
Lineage: Eukaryota; Viridiplantae; Streptophyta; Magnoliopsida; Poales; Poaceae
Source: Rfam
GGACGGUGAAGUUUGAUAUUUUGGUCUUGUUCGUCGGAACGGGCAUUUAUUUGCCUUGCCGACCAUCCUGCUAUAUCACCACCCAUAUGUUGAUGCU